GUACCCACUUCAGCGGCACAUAUACUAGAACUGGAACGAGACAGAGAAGAUUAGUAUGGCCCUGUGCAAGAAUAACACUGAGAGAGAGAGAGAGAGAGAGAGAGAGCAUUU
Molecule: small nuclear RNA, 111 nt
Organism: Hemicordylus capensis (graceful crag lizard)
Lineage: Eukaryota; Metazoa; Chordata; Lepidosauria; Squamata; Cordylidae
Source: RefSeq, a predicted model, not a curated record